GCCCGAGAUUCUCAUUCAGUGAUCAACACUGAACACACAUCCCUUACCAUGGAUUUUGGGCUGAUUUUUUUUAUUGCUGCUCUUUUAAAAGGUGUCCAGUGUGAGGUGAAGCUUCUCGAGUCUGGAGGUGGCCUGGUGCAGCCUGGAGGAUCCCUGAAACUCUCCUGUGCAGCUUCAGGAUUCGAUUUUAGUAGCUACUGGAUGAGUUGGGUCCGGCAGGCUCCAGGGAAAGGGCUAGAAUGGAUUGGAGAAAUUAAUCCAGAUAGCAGUACAAUAAACUAUGCACCAUCUCUAAAGGAUAAAUUCAUCAUCUCCAGAGACAAUGCCAAAAAUACGCUGUACCUGCAAAUGAGCAAAGUGAGAUCUGAGGACACAGCCCUUUAUUACUGUGCAAGACUCACAGUGAGGGAAUCUCAGUUUGUACCCAGACAUGAACCUCAUUGUGAGGCCGCUCACAACCACCAGGGGCGAUGA
Molecule: non-coding RNA, 474 nt
Organism: Mus caroli (Ryukyu mouse)
Lineage: Eukaryota; Metazoa; Chordata; Mammalia; Rodentia; Muridae
Source: the annotation of a RefSeq genome assembly